This 165-nucleotide ribosomal RNA is filed under the name Puccinia polysora. RNAcentral describes it as "5.8S ribosomal RNA". The stretch from base 1 to 142 matches the Rfam family "5.8S ribosomal RNA". Rfam says of the family: 5.8S ribosomal RNA (5.8S rRNA) is a component of the large subunit of the eukaryotic ribosome. It is transcribed by RNA polymerase I as part of the 45S precursor that also contains 18S and 28S rRNA. Lineage: Eukaryota; Fungi; Basidiomycota; Pucciniomycetes; Pucciniales; Pucciniaceae. The record is from RNAcentral.
AACUUUUAACAAUGGAUCUCUUGGCUCUCACAUCGAUGAAGAACCACAGCUGAAAUGUGAUAAGUAAUGUGAAUCGCAGAAUUCAGUGAAUCAUUGAAUCUUCGAACGCACCUUGCACCUGUUUGGUAUUCCAAGAGCGCUCCACACCUGUUUUGAGUUGUUCAU